GGGGGCGAUCGGUUUCGACGUGGGGACUGAAGGUCAGUUUGCGUGUGGAGGCACCCGACCCUCUUCAAAAUCGGGCCGUACCAAUUGCGAACGACAACGCAAUCGCUCUCGCUGCCUAAGAAACAGUGAAGCCGUCCAACCGAGAGAUAGUUUUGGUAUCGGAAGGGCGUCAUUACUAAAGCUGGGUUCCGCCGAUGCUCUGGGCGGCGGAGCCGAGAAAAUCUGGAGAUAGGCUGGUAGCCGAAUCUACCAAACCCCGCCGCAAGGGUUAGAGCGGCUACGCACGUGAACGAAAGCUGAUUGGACGCCUCGCGGACCCGGGUUCAAUUCCCGGCGCCUCCACUG
This 345-nucleotide transfer-messenger RNA is filed under the name Polyangiaceae. RNAcentral describes it as "PMG-095 sp004193285 Standard tmRNA". It matches the Rfam family "transfer-messenger RNA". Rfam says of the family: Bacterial tmRNA, also known as 10Sa RNA or SsrA, is named for its dual tRNA and mRNA-like properties. Its role is to liberate the mRNA from a stalled ribosome. The record is from RNAcentral. RNAcentral also lists the same sequence under 1 other name. Lineage: Bacteria; Pseudomonadati; Myxococcota; Polyangiales.